Molecule: long non-coding RNA, 223 nt
Filed under: Capsicum annuum
Lineage: Eukaryota; Viridiplantae; Streptophyta; Magnoliopsida; Solanales; Solanaceae
Description: long non-coding RNA (CANN_LNC014182)
Source: RNAcentral
UUCUGUUACUCACACUAUCUUGGGACCUGGACAUAGUAGGCCUAUUACCCUGAUCCUUCCUAAUUCUGACUGCGGGAGUACUGGAUGAUGAAGGCUCUAGCACAAGUGAAUGAUUUUGGGACUGAGGGCGAUUCUCUCCAGAAAAUCUAGUUUGACCAUACCCCUGCUGCUCUGAUCUAACUCUCUUAUUAGCCCUUACUCUAUCUCUCUCCUUCACCUUGUC